AUGGGAAACAUGUACUGGUUGUUCCUUUGGUUACCACUCAAGAUGGGAACAGCACCCUGAAGCAUUUUGGUUACACAAAGACCAUUCUAAACCUGCUGUUAGGGGAGGUGUAUUGAUUUCUUUCUCCUUUAUAAGGCUAUUGUAUCAUUAAUUCUCUGUGUGAUUCAGGUGUAUUUAUUUGUGACAAGGCUUUGUAAUUAUAAAAAAGGGAACCCACACCUGACUGUAUUGCCAGCUCCCUUGUAAACUACCUGUGGCGUCUCGUUUCCUGGUCGCGUGCUCGUCCUCUCCUCAACACAGCUCUGGCACCAUUGUAAUUAGUUCAUCCACCCCAUUAGCAUCUCCAUUUAAGUGGUUCCCAGAUGAUUUAAUAAAGAGAAACUGUGUCCUCAGUCG
RNAcentral lists this long non-coding RNA (396 nucleotides) under Bos taurus (domestic cattle). Its description in RNAcentral is "long non-coding RNA NONBTAT006957". Lineage: Eukaryota; Metazoa; Chordata; Mammalia; Artiodactyla; Bovidae. The record is from RNAcentral.